CCUACGGGAGGCAGCAGUGGGGAAUAUUGCACAAUGGGGGGAACCCUGAUGCAGCGACGCCGCGUGGGUGAAGGAGUAUUUCGGUAUGUAAAGCCCUAUCAGCAGGGAAGAACAAUGACGGUACCUAACUAAGAAGCACCGGCUAAAUACGUGCCAGCAGCCGCGGUAAUACGUAUGGUGCAAGCGUUAUCCGGAUUUACUGGGUGUAAAGGGAGCGCAGGCGGCGCGUUAAGCCUGGUGUGAAAGCCCGCGGCCCAACCGAGGGACUGCAUUGGGAACUGGCGCGCGGGAGUGCCGGAGGGGUAGGCGGAAUUCCUAGUGUAGCGGUGAAAUGCGUAGAUAUUAGGAGGAACACCAGUGGCGAAGGCGGCCUACUGGACGGUGACUGACGCUGAGGCUCGAAAGCGUGGGGAGCAAACAGGAUUAGAUACCCCAGUAGUC
Molecule: ribosomal RNA, 441 nt
Filed under: uncultured bacterium
Lineage: Bacteria
Description: partial 16S ribosomal RNA
Rfam family: Bacterial small subunit ribosomal RNA
Source: RNAcentral